CACCGCGGUUAUACGAGGGGUUCAAGUUGAUGUUUGUCGGCGUAAAGAGUGAUUACAGGAGUAUAUAUAACUAAAGCCGAAGGCCCUCUGGGCUGUUUUACGCAUCUGGGGGUUGUUAAGCUCUUUAACGAAGGUAGCUUUAAAAAAGAUUAUAUCCUCGAGUUCACGAUAGCUAAGGCA
RNAcentral lists this ribosomal RNA (180 nucleotides) under Albula glossodonta (roundjaw bonefish). RNAcentral describes it as "partial small subunit ribosomal RNA". The record is from RNAcentral. Lineage: Eukaryota; Metazoa; Chordata; Actinopteri; Albuliformes; Albulidae.